AUACGGAGGAUCCGAGCGUUAUCCGGAUUUAUUGGGUUUAAAGGGUGCGCAGGCGGCCAUUUAAGUCAGCGGUUAAAUCGUGGGGCUCAACCCCAUUCUGCCGUUGAUACUGGGUGGCUUGAUUGCGGUCGAGGUUGGCGGAAUUCGUUGUGUAGCGGUGAAAUGCAUAGAUAUGACGAAGAACACCGAUUGCGUAGGCAGCUGACCAGAUCGCAAAUGACGCUCAUGCACGAAAGUGCGGGGAUCGAACAGGAUUAGAUACCCUGGUAGUCCGCACAGUAAACGAUGAAUACUUGUUUUCGGCGAUAUAAUGUCGGAGGCAAAGCGAAAGCGAUAAGUAUUCCACCUGGAGAGUACGCCGGCAACGGUGAAACUCAAAUGAAUUGACGGGG
This 392-nucleotide ribosomal RNA is filed under the name uncultured bacterium. RNAcentral's name for it is "partial 16S ribosomal RNA". It matches the Rfam family "Bacterial small subunit ribosomal RNA", at positions 523 to 918 of the family's 1533-position model. The record is from RNAcentral.